UGGUUUAGUGGUAAAACAUGUCCCUGCCACGGACAAGACCUGGGUUCGAUUCCC
Molecule: transfer RNA, 54 nt
Filed under: Rhodomonas lens
Lineage: Eukaryota; Cryptophyceae; Pyrenomonadales; Pyrenomonadaceae
Rfam family: tRNA
About the family: Transfer RNA (tRNA) molecules are approximately 80 nucleotides in length. Their secondary structure includes four short double-helical elements and three loops (D, anti-codon, and T loops).
Source: RNAcentral